ACUCCCUGGGCCUCGCCUCCGAUUUCCCGAUGUACCACAACAGUAGCCAGAAGAGGCACUGGACUUUCGCCAGCGAGGAGCAGCUGGCGCGGUUGCGGGCUGACGCCAACCGCAAAUUCAAAUGCAAAGCGGUGGCGAACGGGAAGAUUCUUCCAAAUGACCCCGUCUUUCUUGAGCCUCACGAAGAAAUAACGCUCUGCAAAUAUUAUGAGAAAAGAUUAUUGGAAUUCUGUUCGGUGUUCAAGCCAGCAAUGCCAAGAUCUGUUGUGGGUACAGCUUGUAUGUAUUUCAAGCGCUUUUAUCUUAAUAAUUCAGUAAUGGAAUAUCACCCCCGGAUAAUAAUGCUCACUUGUGCAUUUUUGGCUUGCAAAGUAGAUGAAUUCAAUGUAUCUAGUCCACAGUUUGUUGGAAAUCUGCGGGAGAGCCCUCUUGGACAAGAGAAAGCACUCGAACAGAUUCUGGAAUAUGAACUGCUUCUUAUACAGCAACUUAAUUUCCACCUUAUUGUCCACAAUCCUUAUAGACCCUUUGAGGGCUUUCUCAUUGAUUUAAAGACUCGCUAUCCCCUGUUGGAGAAUCCAGAGAUUUUGAGGAAAACAGCUGAUGACUUUCUUAAUAGAGUUGCAUUGACGGAUGCUCACCUUUUAUACACACCUUCCCAGAUUGCUCUGACUGCCAUUUUAUCGAGUGCAUCCAGAGCAGGAAUUACUAUGGAAAGUUAUUUAUCAGAAAGUCUGAUGCUCAAGGAGAACAGAACUUCCUUGUCCCAAUUACUAGAUAUAAUGAAAAGCAUGAGGAACUUGGUAAAAAAAUACGAACCACCCAGACCUGAAGAAGUUGCUGCUCUGAAACAGAAGCUGGAGAGGUGUCACUCUGCUGAGCUUGCACUUAAUGUAGUUACGUUAAAUCCCUGUGUAUACCUCGUUUUUCACCUGUCUGCUGUGAUCGUUGAUCUGUGAUUCUUUGCUGAUACAGUCAGCCCUCUGGAUGCAGAGCACCACUGUACCAUUGCCAUUUUAUAUAAGGGACUUGAGCAUGUGAGGAUUUGGGUAUUCUAGGGGUUCCUGGAACCAGUCCCCCUCAGAUAUCAAGGGACAACUGUGCCACAUUUUUAAUUACCAUAGUUUACAAAUAUAGGUGUAUAUUUUGAUGUCGUGAAGGACAAAAUCCCCCUUGCUUUGUUUUCAGAUUCUUUUGCUAAUCUUUCCCAGGUCCGAGUUUGACUUGGUAAGUCCACAAGUCAUUGUUUUUGGAGUGUAACUAGAAUUGCAUUGAAUUCAGAGAGUAAUUUGAAAGAGUUUUCCUAUCCGAACUUUUCACCUCUUUCCAUUUAUCCAGGCUUUGGUCUUCAGUAAAUAUAUCUCAUAGCCUUGCUAACUUAUUCUGUUGCCCAUAUUAGAUUGUUUAUUGAUGGCUGCUUAAUUAUAGGAAGAAGAGAAAAGGUUACGAAGAUGAUGAUUAUGUUUCAAAGAAAUCCAAACAUGAGGAGGAAGAAUGGACUGACGAUGACCUGGUAGAUUCUCUCUAGCCAUUUGAAAUUGAUUUGUCAGUGCUAACUAAUCAUCAGAUGGAUGAAGCAUGUCUGGCAUUUAACUUUAUUUGUGAAAGCAUCAAAAUAUAUUAAACUUUUCUAUUUAUGUUAUUUAAAAUUUUUUCCUUUCAGGGUAGCUUUAUGUGAAAUAAAACAUCUUCAAAGGAGCCAGAGUAACACCAGGUUUGGGUAACCUUAACCCAUCAUGAUUGAUAACAAAUUAAAGCUGUAAUUUGCCAAUGUUGUUUUAUAUAAAGUGUCAUAAUCUAAAA
Molecule: RNA transcript, 1803 nt
Organism: Bubalus bubalis (water buffalo)
Lineage: Eukaryota; Metazoa; Chordata; Mammalia; Artiodactyla; Bovidae
Gene: CCNH
Gene name: cyclin H
Exons: 9
Source: RefSeq, a predicted model, not a curated record